CAUUACUUUAAGACAUGAAGGUCAGUCAAUACAACAGUCCAUCAUUACUUUAAGACAUGAAGGUCAGUCCAUCAUUACUUUAAGACAUGAAGGUCAGUCCAUCAUUACUUUAAGACAUGAAGGUCAGUCCAUCAUUACUUUAAGACAUGAAGGUCAGUCCAUCAUUACUUUAAGACAUGAAGGUCAGUCCAUCAUUACUUUAAGACAUGAAGGUCAGUCAAUACAACAGUCCAUCAUUACUUUAAGACAUGAAGGUCAGUCCAUCAUUACUUUAAGACAUGAAGGUCAGUCCAUCAUUACUUUAAGACAUGAAGGUCAGUCCAUCAUUACUUUAAGACAUGAAGGUCAGUCAAUACAACAGUCCAUCAUUACUUUAAGACAUGAAGGUCAGUCCAUCAUUACUUUAAGACAUGAAGGUCAGUCCAUCAUUACUUUAAGACAUGAAGGUCAGUCAAUACAACAGUCCAUCAUUACUUUAAGACAUGAAGGUCAGUCCAUCAUUACUUUAAGACAUGAAGGUCAGUCAAUACAACAGUCCAUCAUUACUUUAAGACAUGAAGGUCAGUCAAUACAACAGUCCAUCAUUACUUUA
Long non-coding RNA from Oncorhynchus keta (chum salmon), 592 nucleotides. RefSeq lists it as uncharacterized. The record is from RefSeq and is a predicted model, not a curated record. NCBI's taxonomy places the organism in Eukaryota, Metazoa, Chordata, Actinopteri, Salmoniformes, Salmonidae. The transcript has 3 exons.